This 461-nucleotide ribosomal RNA is filed under the name uncultured bacterium. RNAcentral's name for it is "partial 16S ribosomal RNA". It matches the Rfam family "Bacterial small subunit ribosomal RNA", at positions 338 to 795 of the family's 1533-position model. The record is from RNAcentral.
CCUACGGGAGGCAGCAGUGAGGAAUAUUGGUCAAUGGGCGAGAGCCUGAACCAGCCAAGUCGCGUGAAGGAUGACGGCCCUACGGGUUGUAAACUUCUUUUGUCAGGGAGUAAUUGGGUCCACGCGUGGGCUUAGCGAGAGUACAUGAAGAAAAAGCAUCGGUUACCUCCGUGCCAGCAGCCCGGGUAAUACGGAGGAUGCGAGCGUUAUCCGGAUUUACUGGGUGUAAAGGGAGCGUAGGCGGAAGCAUAAGUCAGAAGUGAAAUUUCGGGGCUUAACCCCAGAACUGAUUUGGAAACUGGGAGGCUAGAGUACAGGAGAGGUGAGUGGAAUUCGUGGUGUAGCGGUGAAAUGCGUAGAUAUUAGGAAGAACGCCGAUGGCGAAGGCAGUUUACUGGACUGUAACUGACAUUGAGGCUCGAAAGCGUGGGGAGCAAACAGGAUUAGAUACCCGAGUAGUC